UGGCUUUGGUGGCGCUGUAUCCUAGUCAAAGCGCGCCGGUCUCGAAGAAGGGCCUAAAAAUCCUUUAAAGGGCAUAUCGAUGAAGUCCCUGGUGCUUGCUUUUUUCGCCCAGAUUAGGGUGGGUGCUGGGGGUUAAGGCUUUCGGGCGAGGUGUAAUGGCAUAUACCGACCGACCCGAUUUCCGUGGAGACCUGCUAUUGUGCGACAGCCGUCCAGUGGCAUUCAAAGCGCAACCCGGACUGCGUACGAAACAGGAGUAGAACCUGCAAUGCGGUGCACAGAAUCGUGUGCUGUGUGCAGCGUAGCCUGCCUUGCGUGGACAUGCGGGGAUAGAGGAGCGAAGCGUUUCCGGCCGUGGCCGCGGCUGAGGGCGAUAUUGCCUCUUGAAACCAUGCCUGCAAAAGAGGAUAGAACCGGUGCGUGAUGUUGUGGAAAUCACCUAGGCUGACUUUCCCCAAAGGGCAGAUAAAGGAUUGCAGUGCGGACUAAGUGGCAAUCGGGUAUCGGACGCGGCGACGCUCCGACAAGGCUUUAAUCGGAAACGGCCAUUCGGCAACGGAUGGCAGCCGAAGGGGAAAUCCAACCCGACCUAAGCCGCAAGAUUUACUUUAUCUGCUGCCACCAUUCUUUUU
RNAcentral lists this small RNA (632 nucleotides) under uncultured Faecousia sp. The record is from RNAcentral. Lineage: Bacteria; Bacillati; Bacillota; Clostridia; Eubacteriales; Oscillospiraceae.